Molecule: non-coding RNA, 1067 nt
Organism: Nicotiana tabacum (common tobacco)
Lineage: Eukaryota; Viridiplantae; Streptophyta; Magnoliopsida; Solanales; Solanaceae
Source: RefSeq, a predicted model, not a curated record
GAAAAAAAUAGAAGAAAAUAGAAAAAAUGUUUGGUCUUGUUUAUUCAAAAUUGGAUCAAUCCUUAAAUUGACCCCAAUUAAUUAACCCAAAAUAUGUUCAACCCAGGCUCAAUCUCGCUACACAGAAAUCCAUUACCCUUUACCCUACCCCCUACAUAUAAAAAGACAUUUUAGAAACCACAGAAAAGAGAGGCUAGCCCCUACACACUAACAAAACGACGGACCUCUCUCUCUCCCUGGUUGAGAGCAGCGUUACACCAUCUCUGAAAACCUUAACAACCAGCGGCUUUACUCAUUCCCUCUCUUUCUUCUUUCCCACUUCCCAUUCAACACCAACGAACUAACCUAUUUUCCUAAGGCUGGAAUGACAGCCAUUUUUGUUAAAAAGAAACACACUGGAACACACAAAACAAUUUCAAUAGUUAAGAAAAUAACUUGAAACUCUAGAAUCUGAGGUUCGAAAAACCAAAACAAAAAAAAGAGUAAAAUUUCAGAUCUGGGUAUGGUUUGGUUUAGCUGGUUUUCCUUGCAAUUAGCUGCUUGAAGGUGGAAUUUGCUCGGGUGUUUCUGCUGAUUUUCGCGGAUGCUGUCAUCUGGGUUUUGAUUUGAACUUUUGGGCUCGAAUCUAUGUUUAAAAGCUGUUAUUCCUGUUGUCGCUAAUGGGCUCCAAGGUUUUUGUUGAAUACACUGUCCGAGACUUAUUCACUACUUAUUUUGCUCAAUUUAGUUGAUGUAAUUGCUGAGGUUCAUUAAUUAAAAGACUAUCUCAGUCACGCUACACUUCUGUACUUGAUUGUACAAGAUUUGAGGCAGGUGUAUCUGGCCAUCAGUCCGGCACGUAGACUUGACUCCCCAGCUUGAGACUUCCCGGUGAGCUGCCCUUUUUGAGCCGUUCUGCAGUAUUUGGAGUCUCUCUUAUGUGUUUAUUUUCCUGUCUAUUCCUUUCCAGACAGUAUAUGAUUUUGUAUAUUCUAUUAGAUUGCCCACAAAUUUGUGACACCAGGUCUUGGCACACACACUAGUGGACUUAUGAUUUUUAGUUUACUUACAUGAUUACGAUUCAUAUU